This is an RNA transcript of Medicago truncatula (barrel medic), 1204 nucleotides long. RefSeq lists it as uncharacterized. The transcript is spliced from 3 exons. The record is from RefSeq and is a predicted model, not a curated record. Lineage: Eukaryota; Viridiplantae; Streptophyta; Magnoliopsida; Fabales; Fabaceae.
CCAAUUUAUCUGUUCUUUUCUCUCUCGAACCUUCCAGCCAUUUCUUUAGCUUCCAAUUCUACUUCAUCUUUCAUCACACGUUUUCUUUGUUUUUCCCAUUCAAAUCAACAAAUUCUUUUAUUGAAUCAUGCAAGCAUGAGUAAAAUGGUACAACUUGGCAAACCAACCUCAUAAAGUGCAAUUGGGUAGCUUUUUGAGAUAGGAUUUGUGCUUUAUGGAAGGAGAAGAGUACCCACCCAUUGGUAGUUGCUUAUUGAGAUUCUUAGAGAUAUGAUAUUGGACGCUUCACAUGCUUCUCUAGGAGUGGUUGGAGAUCAAACUUAGUUGAUUCGUCAUAACUGGCACAGAAUCAUACACGCAGUUGAUGCCUCCCUGUGGUUUUGAUGAAAUGUCAUAUGUUAAGCCGGCAUCUUUAUGUAUAUUGAAAGACUCCUUGUGUUUUUCUCAUGAUAACUGGAGAACUGAAUUCAUUGUAUGGCAGAUGAAGAUCAUUGGAGUUGAAGAGCCAUGGACUCAACUCCUUAAAAUUAGCUACCAAAAUCUUCGAACUAGAUUUCAUGAUUUUGAUGACUUGGAAAAUUGUCAAUUGUUGCCAUUGCACCUUUCUGAUCACAACGAUACACUAAUAUUGGCUAAUAAUCAAGAACAACGAGCAAUUCUACAUAAUUUGAGGAAUAAAACAGCAAAGCGGACUAGAAUUAUCAAUGAAAUACAAUGGUUCUCUACCAAGGUUUAUGUUGAAAGUUUGGUUUCUGAUAUUUAGAAAGCACGUCAAGACAUUUGUGGGAUGGUUAGAGGAAAAAAAGAAAGGUGGAAAGGAAGAGUUUAAAAGGUUAUUGAUUUUAGAAUUGGAAGUGUUGGGUUAGAUCUUGCUUGCUGGCAUGAUGUCUCAUUUAGUUCAUUGAGUCCAGAAAUCUGACGAAAGUGUAAAUGUUUUAUAUGCAGCAAUAUCAGGGAAGAUUGUCUUAAAUGUUUUUGUGUCACAGUGCUUCCAACAGGAUACACACAGUUCAGUUCACCGAGUCAAAGGAAGUUUAUUUGUCACAGUGUUUUUUAUUCUAUUUGACAGUUCAUUAUUCAUUCGGAUUAAUUAUAAUGAGUUUAACUAUAGGCUGUUCUCAAUUUCUACUAGUUUCCAAACUUCAUAAUUAAAGUUAUUCGAAAUUAAAACAAUAAUAACAAAGUAAAAACUUUUUACUGCUAA